Non-coding RNA from Pogona vitticeps (central bearded dragon), 1497 nucleotides. Lineage: Eukaryota; Metazoa; Chordata; Lepidosauria; Squamata; Agamidae. The record is from RefSeq and is a predicted model, not a curated record.
CCUAGAGAGUCAAUUCAGAUGAUCUGUUGUGUAGAGUCUGUGGGAAGUUAGUCUUGAUUUUGGAUGAAGAAGAGUGGCAAAAAGAACAAAAUCGGGAUCCUUAUUUUCACACAUGAGAAAGAGGCAAGUGAGAAGUGCAUCCUUAAUCUUGGCCUGUUACUCAUUGAAGGACUUCAAGAUGUUUUUAGGCUUCUGGUUUUUAGACUUGCGUUAGCACUAAUGGGGUGCAGCCAAAGUGGAACCAAAUUUGGAUUGGGCUCAGAGGACAAGUGGAAUGGAAAAUCCUGAUUCUUCAAGGCAAACUGCCCCCUCCAGAGCUGUGGAUGAGAAAGCAUGCAGGCCCUCCCAUGCUUCUACUUUUAAGGAGAGAAAAAUGCAUUUCCUGAUUCAAUUACAGAUCUGCUACCAUCCAUGUCACUUUGCCCUCAGAGAGUACAUUUGCACUAUUCCAUCUAAAGUGGCUGAAGAUUGAAACCUAAGUUGCCCAUCUUUUUAUCUUUAGCUUUCACAUCUUGUUUGACUUCUUGGUGCACUUGCAUUCCACAGGACUUUUUAUGAUUAAGGGGGUGAUUUAUCACACUUAUACUGUGCUUUGCUCUAGAGUACUCAAAGCAGUAUAGGUAAGGAUUCCAGGCAGCAUACUGAGACCAGUUUCAGCAGAACUACUUAUCAGUAGAACAUUCCUAGAGCUGAUGUGUAAUUAGUUGCUUGAGCAGCAGCCCACAUGCUGAGAUGAUAGAAGUUACAUCUGGGGACUAUAGCUACCAGAAACCCAUAAGCAGCAUGGACACUGCCAUCUUGGUGAUUGACUUCUGGAAACUGUUCCCAAAGUAAAUUUUCCUAGCUCUGUGCACAUCUUAAGUAAGGCAGCUUUGUACUUCUUGUGGCAAAGGAGAAGAUGGGCCCUCUCAGAUGAACAAGUACAGAUACCCACAAUUAUACUCCAAAUUGUAAAAUUUCCCCCAAUUCCUUGAAAUAAAGGAUUGGGAUGCGUGUGAUGGCUGGUAAGGAGUGCCACUCCAUCCACAAAAUGAUCUUCAUGAUGGGGAAAAAAAGACAUAUACAUUUGAGAAAGAGAAGAAAAGGAGCAAAAAUGAGCAGAGUCAAGGGUGAUGCUGAGAGAUGGAUUCACAGCUGGAUUAUUGUCUUUGCCAUGUACAUGUAUUUUUUUUCACAUAGUGUGAUACAUGUGUGUGUAUAUUAGUGCAUUUAAUACUGAAAUAAUCCAGCUCUACAAAGUUUUGCAAGCCAUAACAGUCAGCACUGCUUUUCUGCUGUGUUUUGACUAAGUGGAUGCCACAUUUAAAUAUGGCAAUAUGUUUGGGAACAGAAUACUUCACAGAUGAGGUUUUUGAUUUAAAGACACUCACUACGUAAUAGUAAUUGUUUCAGCUUUUUCCGAAGCCCAAUGGAAUUUUACUGUAAUGUUCAACCCAUCCAUUAAAUAACUCAUAGCAUUUGUGAUAAGUGCUGCAUUCUGUCACUUAAGAGGCAUCU